GUCUGAUCCUUUGGGAUGCCUUAAAACAAUGGGUUGCAGACUAUGUCAAUUACUACUACAAGGAUGCGAGCAUGGUACAGUCUGAUCCAGAGCUCCAAGCAUGGUGGACGGAAAUCCGAACCAAAGGUCAUGAGGAUAAAAAAGAUGAACCAUGGUGGCCAAACCUCCAAACACCCGACGACCUCAUUGGAAUUAUCACAACAAUAACUUGGGUAACCUCUGGUCACCAUUCCGCAGUCAACUUUGGACAAUAUGCUUUUGCUGGUUACUUCCCCAAUAGGCCUUCCAUUGCUAGAACCAAUAUGCCCUGUGAAGAACCAACAGAAGAAGGAUGGCAACGAUUUUUGGACAAUCCCAAUUCUGAACUCUUGGCAUGCUUCCCUUCAAAGCUACAGGCAACAAGGAUUAUGGCCACUUUAGAUCUGUUGUCAGAGCAUUCCUCAGAUGAGGAGUACAUAGGAAAGGAUAGGAAGCUAACAUGGGAUGAAGAACCGGUUAUAAAGGAAGCAUUUAACCGGUUUUCUGCAAAGUUAGAGGAGUUGGAAAGAACUAUUGAUGAUAGGAAUAAAGACAACAGUUUGAAGAACAGAAACGGAGCUGGGGUGGUUCCAUAUGAGCUCUUGAAGGGAGUUCCAUACAGCAUCUCCAUUUGAAGCUAUAAUAUGUAGAUGUAGCUUUGGGAGUGAAGUUUCAAAUCCAUUGUAUGGUAGAGAUAAUAACUGACGUAACAUCCAUGAGACAUUGGACUGAUAGUAAGUAUUGAAUAAGUGCAAUGGAAUCUAUUGACACGGAGUCAACAAUAAUUUCAUCUUCAAACGGAUUUAAGAAAAGCCUCUAGUCAUACCUGCCCAUUCAUCUCUAGAUAAGGUGAAUGUAAGUGAAUCAGAUCUGGGCUGAAUGCAGGUUCCUCUUUAACCAACAGUGGUAGCGGCAGCCAAUCUGUCACUGUUAGGCUUCAGUACUGGAAAUCUCCUAGCAUGGUGGAAAAGAUUACGAGAUGAAUCGUGGAAAUGAUUAUAAUUAAAAAAAAAUGGUCAUAUAGUAAAAGUAAAAAAGAAAAAAAUGAAAAGAAGGUUUUAUACCUUUAAAUUUGGCAAUGCUUCCAUUUCUUUAUAUUUAGGUUAAAAAAUAAGGGAAAAAAUUCGAUCCUAUUUGUUUAUAUCUAUUUUUUUUCUUUUUAUACCUUUAUUGAAUAGUUUGACUGUACAGAUACCUUAUUAGUUUAAAGCUCACUAUAAUUCAUCUAAUAAUUUUUUUUUCUUUUGCAUAAGUUUGAUUUUUUAUUUUUUAUUUUAUUUUUUUAAGUUCUUGUAGGUCAGAAGUAAUAUGCAAUUUAGGCUCAUACUUUGAGGAACAUCGCUGCUUUUCGAACUUCUGUUGUAUUGAACAGUUGAAGUGUAUCCAUAGACUUUACCUUGUUUGUUGUUUGAACAUUUGUAGUGACUCCUUAUUUGAAUGAACUAGACUCUAACCAAUGAUGAAAAUAUCGUGAUAUAUCGUUGAUUUUUCAUUAAAAUAUCACUUAUUAGAAGGCCCCAACACAAUACAUGCCACAGAUAUUUCAAUCACUAGAUUUUUUUGGUUCUAUUUCGCAUUUUCCUCCAAUAUAUUGGUGAUAUUCCGAUAUUUUAGUGACAAUAUUAUGAUAUUUUAGCAACAUUUUGACUUUAUUGUAAAAAAUUUGGUGAUUUAUCGAUGUCACAUAUAAGUUGACAUGAAGAUCCAACCUGAAACUUAGUCUUGUUGAGGAAUUGCAAGGCCCUCACCAAUAGGCUACUCAUCCUUAUAUUUCAUGAGUUGCAUACAAAUAUAUAUAUAUAUAUAUAUGUAUAAUUAUAAUAAAUAAGUUAGCUUUAUUUAUAAUAAUUAACUAAAAGACAAAAAUAAAUUUAUAAAUAAAAUUAUUAAUAUUUUUAAAUAAAAAACUUAUAUAUAUAUAUAUAUAUAUAUAUAUAUAUAUAUAUAUAUAUUUCUUUUACAUUCUUUAAUAUAUCCAAAAUAAAUACAUUAUGUCCUUCAAUAUAUAUCAAUUUCUUUACUAAAAUAAUUUUAAUGUGUAUUAUUAUUUUUCAAUCAUUUUUUGAGUUUUUCCCUACAUUUUUAAGUUUUUUAUUUUUUAUUUAAUUUUUUUUAUCAAUUUCCACCCACCAAUAUUUUAUGUCAAAAUAUCUACCGAUAUUUUACGAUAUAUUUCGAUAUAUCUGUAAAAUCAAGUUAUCGUCAAAACCGAUAUUUUCAUCCUUGACUCCAACUUAAGAGUAGUUUUUAUCUCUUUUUGCUUAAUUGAAGGAGAUUUUAUUUUUCCUGUUUUUAAAGCAUAAUAGAGUGUCGAGGUUUGAAAAUAAUGUAGUUAAAUGUGAUGUCACAUUCUCUUUAUCCUCAUUUGUGAUGUUUUUGCUCCAAUAGUGUCAUCUUUUAGUUCUUUAAUAGACAUGUUUUCACUUACAUUUGUUUUUAUAACAAACUCUAUGUCUUGUGCUCGUGUAGCCAACUCUUCGAAAGUGUAGGGUCAUAUCCCUUAGAGGAUGUACAGAAGACCCCAAUGUAUAUCUUGUAUGUACAUCUCCACCGUAGACACCUCGAAUAAUCUAUCUUUGUAGUAAAGGCUUAAGGAAUGCCAAUGAUUGAUGUAGUUAACAAUCGACUCGUCUUUCCAUUGCUUAGUAUUGAUAAGCUCUAUCAUGCUCAUAGUUUAUUGGGUGCUAUAGAAGCAGUUAAGUAAUUCGCAUUCCAUUUGGUCCUAACUAUCAAUGCACUCGAGUGUAAGGUUGAUGUACCAAUCAAAGACAUUCCCUUCGAGAGAUCAAACAAAUUGUUUAACCAUGAUGUCACCCUCUAUACAUGUAUUGUUGCAAGUUUUGAUGAAAUGGACAACAUGUUGCUUCAAAUUUCCUUUUCCAUCAAAUGACUGAAACUUUGAAGGUUCAUAACCCAUAAGCAUAUGUAGGUUAUCAAUCAUCUUGGUGUAAGGCUUAGACUACAUGAGUGUGAGGAUUUGUCAUAUUGCACUUUAAUGAUGUUAGUUAUCCUAUCCUAAAAUUGUUAGACAAAUCACAAUGCCACCGAGGCAAAUUCAAUGGUUUGCCCUCUGAUUUGCACCAACUUAAACUUAUCUAGUGCAUCACCUAGAGACACAAUCUUCAGAGAGUAAGUCCUUGGUUUGACUCAAUCGUAUUUUGUAUCUAUACAUUGACCUUAUUCAUGAAAUGAGAUAUUUGUAAAUAUUUCUCCUCUACGGUUUUGGUGAGUUUGACGAUGACAUGAGCCAUCUUAGCUAACUAUUCUUCUACAAAUGUAGUGCCUAUUAUCAUUACCGACAUAGUCAUCGAUAAGGAAGAAGUAAAAGAGUUGAAAUGCUUUGAGGAGUUGUCUUUCUUUGAUAUCCUAGCUUGUGAUCCAAAAUGUGAGCUAGUGUUGGAGUUGGCAUCAACAAUAAAUUAAGGGGACUUAUUCCCAUAGUCCUUUAGUGUUGAAGGGCAUUUUUCCUAAUUAUGAGGACUUUGAUCAUUUGCCCUCAAAUAGGUUAAGGUGAAGAGUGGUUGGUGACUGUCGCGUGUUCCCAAUGAUUUUGUUAAAUGAGUAUGCUCACUUACUAGCUUUGUCGAAAGUGUAGUCGUUUUUUGCUUUGCUACAAGUCAUGAGACCCUGUUGACUAAGUAAUGGCAAUUUUGUCAUCACCCUUAUUGACAUGUGUAGCUUGAGUUUUUUUAAAUGUCAUCAUCUUAGUGCUGGUCACUUUCUUAAUGGAAUAGAUGAGAGACAAAGAUGUCCCACAUGGCGUAUCAAAAAUUUGUACAAACAAAUUUUGUGAAGUCCUGUAAUGUAAGCAAAACAAUAGAAAAAUAUGCAAAGUAUUUUUUUUAAUUAAAAUUAAUUAUUGGGAUACAAUCUUUAUGGUAAUAUUUUUUAUAAAAGAAUAUUUCCCUCUGAUUCAUUCACCUUGAUCACAAUUUGAAAGACGAUGAUGAAAAUAUUUUUUUUAAUUUUAAAGAUCAAUCAAGGGCCACAAGUGGCUUGUUCCCGAAUGAACUCCUUGAAGGACGAAAAUUGCAUUUGUAGCACUUCUACUAUUUCUCAGACUUACAGGGGGAUUUUGUGAAGACUUUUCUUCUUUGUGAAGAUUCUUUUGCCAUGUAAAAUUGUCUUUUCAAUUCGAAGAAGUCUCCUCCAUUGAAGGAAGUCACAUUAUUUAUAGGUAAAACUAAGGAAUUAAAUUCGGAAUCCCUAAGAUUUAGUUGCUUAAUUUAAAGAAUUUGGUUGCUUGGUUUUAGCAACUUAUCUUCUUCAUUAAGAAAAGUUGCUAGAAUAUUUAUUUUUAAUUUUAUUUUGAUUUCAAUUGGAAGAUUUGUUUCCUUUAGAAAUUUAACAAUGAUAAAAUAUUUAUUUUUUAAUUCUUUUUUUACUUCAACUGAAAGAUUUGAUUUUGUUUGCAAGAUUAAAUUUCGUAACUCUCCAAAUUUCACUACGUGUCAUCUUUUGAAUAUAUGUCACAUGUCAAAUGUGUGUGAUCCAUCACUUGUCAAGUUCAAAUUUUGUUGAAUUGGAAGUUACAAUUUUAAAGACCAGUUUAGUGAUAAUUUAAUUCACUAAAAAAAAUUGAUGUUUACAACCAUAUCUCUGAGGAUGACUCUUUGGGCUAUGCUAACAAAUGCCUUGUGAUAGUCUUCAUCUAACACAUGUAGUUGUUAUUGUUUACUAAAUUUUUCCAAGAUUCUUUUAUUGAGAUGCUUUAUCACAAAACCAAUAUACUAGAUGAGAACUCAAAGAUGCAUACAUCCUCAUUUGGUAAUUAUCCAAUUGGUAACAAAUUCCUUUUUAGAUUAGAAAAGACAAGCAUAUUUUUUAAUUUCAAAUUGCAAUGCUUAGUAUCUAAAUAGCUAUCACCAAUAUGAGAAAUAUUUAAAUAGCAGCUAUUACCAACAUAAAUAUUGUCUCAUUCCUUCUAAGGUUGUACAUUGCAAAUUUUAAUUAGGUUAUCAAUCAUGUGUGUAAUUGUAUCCAAGUCUAUGUAGAACUUUGAGUUUGAUCUUCAUUUAAACCAAGAUCGGAAAGUGCUUGCAAGUGAGGCAUCCUUAGCUUGAUAAGCAUAAUCGAACCUAUGUCAACAUCUUAUACCACUUUGAUUAGCUUUUCUACAAAUUUAACAAAUUAGUUUACAUUUACUUUUUUGCAUGAUUUGCCACAAUAGAUUGUAUUUCCACUUUCAUUAGGCAUAUGAUCCAUAUUAUUAGGGUUGUUUUUUCGAACUUUUGCUCUUUGUAAGUGUGCACUCUUACCCUUGUGAACUAACACCAUCUCCUCAUCCUCCUCCUCUGCCUUGAUUAUGUUGAUUCAGAAAGACUUGAUUAUGAUUCAUCUUACUUUUAUUUUCUUCAUUCUAAAUUACAUGAAAAUGAAUGUGGCUCUACAAAACUAUGAAGAAUUAUCUAAAUAAUAGAUAAGGUGGUUUUGCAAGGCUGGCUACUUGAAAAUCAAUGUUCUUUAACUCAAGUCCUCUUGUAAAAUGCAAAAACCUAGUGAAGAUUAGAUAAUGGUUGGAUGGUGGUUGCCUAACUAUCCUAGAUCCGUUCAAAUCCUCAUUGAUAAAAGAAAUUUUUUGUCUACGCUUAGAUAUGAUGAAACUAUCUAGGAAAAGGUAAAUAGGUAGUCCCUAAGUUAAUCCCCAAAUUAAAUUUUUUACUAUCUACUUUAUGUUUAUCCUUUUAUAUUAAUAUCAAAAGUGUUAAUAUUUAAAAGUGAGUCUACCAUCCUAUGUCUCUUCUUGAAACCAAAUGUCAUUAAUCAUGCUUUUCAAGUUUAAAAUUUUUAUUGAGGGCUCAAAUAAAUUCACACUUCUAAACUUUCACAUUGUUUUCUUUUCAUUAGUUACCCUGAGUAUAACGUAUAUAAUCUCAACAUAAUAAAAGGCUUAAUAUAUAAGUAAGACUACCUUAUGUUUUGAGAAUAGAUAUGGUGUAACUUGGUACUUCUAUAUUAAAAUGAUCAUUGAUAGAACUUAACUUGAAAAUAUUUCUAACAUUCCUAAAAUUGAUGGAUCUUAUGAAAGAAAAUGUUGUAUAGUUACAUUAUUAAGCUAUCAUUUAAUUAUUGAAAAAACUUACUUGACCAUCAAUGUAUAUAAAAUACUUACCUAAAUAAUUACUUAGCUCAUCUAGAAUUGAGCUAGAACUUGGUUGAAACUGUUAAGAUUAAAGACAAUAAAUUAUGUCAAACUAGUGCAUAACCAAGGUAUUAUAACUCUAUUCUAAAGUAUCAAUAAUUUUAUUUAGAAACUCAAUUAUGAAUAACAAUUUUCCAGCCGUUUUAUGGUUUAGGGUAAGAUGACAUGAAAAACAAUUGAAAUUUAUUUUUAAAAUGACCAUAUUCUCCAUGUCUUCUCUACUCUUAGAAUGGUUCAAAUAAAUAAGUAAAAACAUCUAAAUUUACUCUCAAAAAAUCUUCUCUAAGAUACCAAAUUCUCCAAAAAUCUAAAUUUAGCUUAAAAAAAAUUGACAAACAUAUUUUUUAAGUUGGAAAAUAAAUUUUUAUUUUUUAUUUUAAAAAAAGAUAAAAUCAUUUUAAAAAAUUUGUUUUGUGAAACAUAUUUUUUAAAUUGAAAUUUAGCAUUUUCUUUUUCAUUUUCUAACCAUUCAAGCCUCAUAAUGCCAAUUUGAUACAAAGAUGAAAUUUCAAACAUCUAAAGGAUGGAAAGGAUAUUGGGGGAAAUUCAAUCACAUAUAUACCCAAGUACAAAAAUUGUCAAAAGUGGCCCUAUAAUAGCAAUGAGUGUAGUUACAUUAUCAGUGUGAUGGAGCAUCAAUUUUGGAAUGAUGUGAUGCCCACAUUCGUACUUGGGGUGCCAUCAACUGAUACAUCUAUUUCACAAUGAAUUCUCUCCCUCUUUCUUCCCCACUUCAAUAAAUUUUGGAUCCUUGAGAAGUUGGAUCGUGAAUUGUUAACUCAAGGUUAGCAUGACAACAUUUCUAGAAUUUAUUAACUUCUUUUUCGAACAUAGAAAUUAUAUAUAUAUAUAUAUAUAUAAUGAAUUUUUUCAUCUAAUUUAUUGUAGAUAAUAGCAUAUAAUAAAGUUUUAGAUUUUAAAAUUUAUAACUUUUCUUAUUCUUUAAGAAAAAAGAAAAUAUAUAAAUUUGAAUAAUGUAGAAAAUAUUUUUGAAUUUAAAUAUGAUUUAUUUAUUUAUUUUUAAUCUUUGACUUUUUAAUUUUUCAUGUCAUAGUCUUUUAAGUGUUGACUGAUAUAAUCUUGAAAAGGAAACAAAGACAAGAACAAUAAUCUCGAAAAGGAAAUAACAAUAAAAACAACAAAUGGUAGAAGAAACAAUCAUUUGGGGUACUCUUAUGAUGAGAAGAUAACAAAUUUUGAUAUAAAACUAUAUAAAUAUUUUUUCAAAAACUAAGCCUUGUGAUGAGUAAAAAGGUUUAUCUUAAAAUAUAUAAGAUGUUGAUAACAUCUAAUCAUAUACUUUGCAUUAUAUAAAGAGUGUCAAUAUUUAAAAGUGAGUCUACCAUAGUAUAUCUCUUCUUGAAACCAAAUGUUAUAAAUGAAGCUUUUCUAGUUUUAUUUUAUUUUAUUUAUUUAUUUGUGGAUUCAAACAAAUACACUUUUGUAAACUCUCAUAUUGUUUUUUUUUUCAUUAAUUACUAUGAGUAUAGCAUAUAUAAUCUUGGCAUAAUGGAAAUCUCAAGUAUACAAGUGAGACAAUUUGAAAAUAGAUACUAUAUGACUUUGUACUUUUAUAUUAAAAUGAUCAUUACUAGAACUUAAUUUGAAAUUAUUCUAAUAUUUCUAAAAUUGGUAGAUCUUAACAAAGAAAAUGUUGCAUAGUUACAUUAUUAAGUUAUCAUUUAACAAAAAAUCUAUAAAGUACUUGGACUAAACCCAUUUAUAAAAUAUCAUUGAAGUUUAUGACCAAGGACCUCCCCUAAAAGUACCGAUCUCCUUAACACCCUUUUGACAUGUAUUGCGGAUUAGCAAAAAGCAAAAAGGGUAAUGAGUUUUCUUAACAUGAAAGAUACAAAAAUUAUCUAGCAUAAGUUCAUUUGCUUGAAGUUAAUAAUUUUGGUGUGAUUCAAAAUAAGUAGUAGGUGAGAUUAAUAUAUCUACGAAGCAUGAAAGUAUAACUAAAGCAAAAUAAUUUUAUUACAAUUUUUAAAAAAGUAAAUAAAAUUUUUAAUUACAACUUUUAUUCUUUAUUUUCAUAACAUGUAAUGAUUAGACAUCAUAAAAUUUUAAAUUUUAUUAUUAUUCAAAUAAUAGAAAAUUGCAAUUAAAUAGUCACAUUUGACUUAAAUAUAAAACUAAAUUAAAUAGUAAAAUUGAUGGAAGAAUUAAUCAAACAUUCAAGCACGUAGUCUGAAAAUGCAUCUUUAUUUCAAUGUAAGACAAAAGCCACAUGUCUUAUUGAAAUAUCGUCUUAUUUUGUUUUCUCAUACGAUAGACCUAACACCAAAAAUUAAAAGCAUGAUAACCCAUGGAGUAGACAUGGUUUCUUUUGGAUUAUGCUUGUAUGUGUUGGAAGAGAAUGAGAGUGAGUACAAAAUAUACUGCGUCCCUCACCAUAUGAAUUCCCCUUUAUUGAGGGAAUUCAUAAGAGAUUGACUUCCCUUUUAUUGAGGGAAUUCAUAACAGAUUGACACCUGUGAGGGGCAUCCAUUUACCCUAAUAUCAUUAAAGUGGACCUACUUUAUCCUAACAACAUCUCAUUUAUGAGUGUGUCCUACUAUUUACGUAUUAGUUGACUUAGCUCUAUUUCUAUCUAUCUAUAUAUAUACUAAGGUCCAAAAUACAAAAGCAAGUAAAAGCAACUUAAAUAAUAAAUUAUCUUAUUUUGAUAAUAAAUUCUUGUAAUAUUAUUUUUUUUACUAGAAAAAGGUCUAAUGUAUUUUUAUAGGAUUAUGGAAUAAAAGAAAAAAUGAAAAUUGUUUUCUAAAAAUAUUACAUUCAACUUUGAUUUCAAACAAACACACGUAUAAACGCAACAUAUAGGAAAAAAGUUAAGAAAUUGGCUAAAAACCAAUGUUUUCAGAAUUGGACCGAUUAUUGAAUCAGAAAAGUUAUCGGUUCACGGUUUAUUGAUUGGAUCGGUGAUCGAACCGCGAUCGAAUCGGUAAUGUCAUAAAUAUAUAUUUUAUUAUUUUAUAUAUUAUUAAAAAUAAAAAAAUUUAAUAAAUUCUAUCUAAAGUUGAAAUCAUGGAUUUUGUUUUGACAAUUAACAAAUAACUUUUAAACUUUAUUUCAUAAUAUAAAAUUUUCUAAAUGAGUUAAAUUAUGAAACCAUUAAAACAAUAAAAACCAACAAUACCAUAAAUGGUCAGACAUUACCCUUUUCACAGGAUCUGGUCCUCAAUCACAACUAAGGGUCUUCAAAAAGCCCGCGGCCUGCUUUAGGCCCAGCUCGGCCCGACAUGCUAAAGCCCGACCCGUAGGCCCGCCCCUUUAAUUUUUUUUUUAAAAUAAUAUACUUUAUUUUUAUAUAUAUAUAACUAACUCAAUUAAUAAGCAUAAAAAGAAUGUAAUUCAGUUGAUUAGAACCUUAAAAUUUAAGCAUGAGGGGAGGGGUUCGAAUCCCCCCCUCUCCUUUCCUUUUUUUGAAAGCCAUUAAGGCUUAUUUCAAAAAGCCCGUGGCCCGACCCGCCCCCCAGUUCGCUAGCCCGCGGGCCUAGCAUUUUAGCAUGGCCCGGCCCGUUGACCAGUUAACGGGCCCAUAGGCCCUACCUGAGCUGGGCCGCGGGCCUCCUAUUUACGGCCCGGCCCGCCCGUUAGAGACCCCUAAUCACAGCUCCCACAGUGUGCAUUGCUAAUGGGAGGCCAUCACACUGCACUAUAACCUUAUCCUUCAAUUUCAACCUAUAUUUUUUAAGUGCAUCUGAUUUUCCUUUGAAUUGCCACAUGUGAUCCAUGGAUGUUAAUGGAGGCUGCAUGAGAUACAAAUUGUGAGGGCCCACCAUCAUUCUUGCUUUGGGGGAGUCGGCUUGUGAUGAUGACCACCAUCACCACUUACAGACUUCAGCUUUUCCUUUAACUUGAAAUACCAGUCGAUGUUGAUGCCCCAGGUGCCAUCCAACACCAUCAAAUAACCGACCGAUUGGGGUGGUUUUCAACGGUAGAGAGGUUUCCAAAUGCCGCGGCGGGGAAUUGGGAAGAGGCGACGACAGGGAGGGUUGCCAGCUUGUAAUGGCCGCCGAUAGGUUAUUUGGGUGUUGCUCGCCGCUAGCCCAUCGACGGCGCGUCGGUGGCGGGCGGAGCAGUAGGCCGACAACUGCAGCUGGGGGAGGAGGGAGGAUUCGGUUCACCGGUUGGACCGUCGGUUUAAACUGUCCGAUCCUGGUUCAAUGCUAUUCCGUUCUAAUUGACCGGAUCGGACCGGAACCAUGACCCGCCUACAGUCGGACCGGGAGGUCCGAUUUUUUAAAUCAUAUCCGGAUUUAUUUUAAAAUCACGCUAAAAACGUUCAAAUCACGUGUGUUUUGGUUUUUCCCUCUGCACUGCACUGCAUCAGUGAGCUAUCUAAUCACCUUUUGUAAGCAUUGACGUCAUCAUUUUAAUCAUUGUUUCCUUCUUCCAACAAAAUUACAGGAUGGAGACAUAUGUCUCUUUUCCUAGUUCCUAUUUCCUACUGCUAUAUAAACAGAAAUGGUCGACCUCAUAACACUCAUCGAACUCCCAUGGCAACUAAGAAAAUGGGUAUGUUCAAGCCUCAGGUCCACCGGCCACAUUUUGUGGGGACAGUCUUCUUACCGAACAAACCAUGCAUCCCCAGUAGCAGUCGGCCUUCAUUUUCCGUAAGGCCAUGGCCACAACCCCAGAAAAAAUAUAGGAAUAAUAUCAGGGUUGGCUAUUUCCCCAGCAACAUUAAAGCAGUAGCAGUAGCAAGUGGAACCAAGACUUCCAUUUCUGUCGAGGCAACUGCAGGAGUUACCCUGAAAUCACCAAACUUGCUUGGUGGGUCACUCCUUUUAGAGCUUGUUAGUGCAGAGCUUGAUCCUCGUAAGUAUUUUGUCAUUUAACUUAUCAAUUUUGUAUAUGAAAUCGAGUAAAACUGAACUGCUGCAGUUUUCUGCAGUGACCAUCCAAUUGCAGGCCUUGUUUGGUUGCGGUGUUGUCACUUUCUUUUUUUUUCUUUUUUUAAAUCAGUCAAGAAGAUAAAAUUUUAAGCAGAAUGGAGAAAAAAAAAAAAAGGUGCAUUACAGAGGCUAAUAAUGCAAGGGAGGAUUUGAGUCUUCCUGACCAUGUGUUUAAUUACCCUAAUGUUUUGUUUGUUUGCUGAGAAAAUAAAGUAGAACACCCAAAAAAAUAUCUGAAUUUUUUUAUUUCCUACACUUUCUCGUCUUGAAUUUUAAAAUUGGGUGAAUCAUGAAACCAUACAUCAACCCCCCACCCAAAAAAAAAAGUAAGUUUUUAAAACUUUGUUUUUGACUUUUCAAUUCAAGUGCAAAAUAGGAAAAAAAAUUACCCAACCCACCGUCCGCCUCUCCCUCCCCAUCGAAACCGGCCGAGACCUUGCCGGCGUCAGCACCGGCCGCCACUCACAGCCCUCUCCGGCCGGCAGCCUCCCCUCUCUCUCUCUCUCUCUCCCUUUCCCCUCCCUCUUUCUUUCCCUUUCCUUUCCUUCUUUCUCUCUCUUCCCUUCCCUUUCCACAUCACCACAGCCACCAAUGCCAGCGACCCACUGCUGUUGCCCAGUCGGAGAGAGCCGUGCGCUCUCGGCGAUGACGCCGGCAAGGUGGCGGCAGAUUUGGGUCGGGAGGGAGAGGCAGGAGGGUAAUUUUGGAAAAAAAAAUAGAAUUACUGUCUUAAGUGUACGAAAGGGCUUUUUUUUUUUUCCAUUUUACGUUUAAAUUGAAAAGUCAAAAACAAAGUUGCAGAAACUUGCUCGUAAAUUUUAAACUUGAUCCAUGGAGCACUGAUAUUUUCAUUAAUGAUUUUGCAAAGAGACGGGAUCACAGAAGAAGCCAAUUAACGCGAAUGCGCACCUAGUAGGCCCAAAGGGUGCUAUUUUGGAGGCAGAAUUUGUGAUUCCUGGUGACUUUGGGGAGAUUGGUGCAGUUCUAGUGCAGAGUGAACACUCCAGUGAGAUCUACCUCCAGCAUAUAAUCCUCGAUGGCCUCCCAAAUGGUCCUAUUAGAUUCCACUGCUGUUCAUGGAUUGAACCCAAAGCUGAUCAUUCUGGGAAGAGGAUUUUUUUCUCCAACAAGGUUAGCCACCAUCUUCUACUCUUUUCAUCAGAUCGUAACUCGUAAGCAUAUCAAUACUUCGCAUUAUUUACAUGUAAUUAAAUAGGCAAGUUUUUGUUUCGAUAGACUUGUUUUGGAAACCACUAUCAAGGUAAAUCUUUUAAAAAUUUUUAUAUUUUAUAUAAACAUUAUUAUAAUAUUUUAGUUUUCAACAUGGGAAACAGGAACUGUACAAACAAUGGAUUCUAUGGUUAUUAUCCUAGCUUUAGAUAAUAUUUCAUAAUUUUAUCAAGGAUCGAUAGGUAAGUAUUCAUUUGGAUAGACAUUUUAAUUUUUUUUAAAAUAAAAAGUAAUAAUAAAUUUUAUAUAAAAAGUCAUAUAGGUUUUCUUUAUGUUAUUAAAAAACCUACAUUUUUAUAAAGUUUACAUUCACGUAGUAAAAAAUUUUUGACAAGUCAAUUUUUUUAAACCGUCCCUAAAACCAUUACAUUUUCAAUAUAAGCCUUUGAAAAUUUUCAAUUAAAUAUAACAUAUAAAAAUAAAAAGUUUUGUGGACGAAAUUUUCUACUAUCAAAUAAAUAAAUUUUGACUUCUCAUUUUAAUGAAAUAACUCAUCUUUUUAUUUACUUUUAUAAUCAACUAAUUCUUGAUAACAUGACACUUUUUAUAUAUAUACCACCAACACACUGAACACUUUAUCAUAACACCCAUCUUCAACCUAUUUCUGAAGUCAACACUUAAGCAUAGUAGAAUCAUUUCAACCGCAUUUGCUUAACUCCAUAAAAUACAUUCUAUAUCUUUUAGUAGUGGCAUUCUAAAAUUUGGACAAUAUAUUGUAACAUCAAAUUAAAAUUUUCACUUCAUAUACAUUUUUUUCUUCUCUAUUCAAAAACACUUUGAUCCUACUAGCAUCAUGACUCAAUAUUGUUAAUGUCAAGAGUCUUAUUCACCCUUGUGAGAACUGUUACUCAUUUUUGUUCAUAUUUAAGAGAAAAAGAACUUGAUAGUUUGCGAGGCAAUGAUGAAGGAGAGCACAAGACCUCUAAUAGGAUCUAUGAUUAUGAUGUAUAUAAUGAUCUGGGUGACCCUAGCAAGCCUGAAUUGGUGAGACCGGUGCUUGGUGAUAGCAAACAAUACCCAUACCCUAGACGAUGUGGAAUUGGAUGUCUACGGUAUAAGACUGGUAUGAAAGUUAGAAUUGAACUUUCUCUUUUUUAAUAAGGAGCUAAUCAAAUCUUAGGGUGUCCUACAAUCAUGUAGCGCAACAAAUUUGAAAGAUAAGAGUACAAAUUUAAAAUAUUAAUGCUCAUAUAAUUAUAUUUAUGUUUAUAGAGAAAUAUGGAACUAUUAAAUUUUUUUAUUAUAUUAUUGAAUUUCAUUUGUAGAAACUACCAGUCUUUGGUUCCAAUGUGAAACUAUUGUUGUUGUCUAAUGGUAGAAGCUCUUAUGCUACUUAUUAUGCUAUUAAUUAAGCACAUCAAAUAACUAAUGUGGAUCAACAAAUCAUUUCUAUCUCCAUGAUGAGAUAAAGAUUCAGACAUACAUCAUUCAUGCACAUUCAAGAUUUACAAUUGAUACAAUAUUAAAGUAUCAUUCCUAGCAUCACACCCUAAGUUUAAACCCUUGACUAGACUCAUUUCUUCAUGCAUUGUAUGAGUUAAGAAACAAAGGCACAUAGUGUGUUCUAUUGUAUUGAUGUUUCCCUUCUCUCUUAGUAAAAUUUCAUGAGAUUUCAUAUAGAAUGUUAUUGAGAUACAGGGAUUCUAAACCUCUCAUUAUUUUCCAGUUUUAUAAGAAAUUUUAAUAACAAAAUGAAUCCUAAAAGGAUCUUGUCAUAUAUAAGGUUUCAAAAUCAACAAAAAUAAAAAUAAAAAAAAUCUUAGAGGAUAAAGCUAAAGUAUCGUAGCGGUAUCUACUUAAUAAAAGAUUCAGACCAUUGAAUAUAUAUGGUAACAUUUAGGUCAUUGAACAAUACAAAUAAAUAAAAAAUGGGAUCAAGGUAUAAGGGUACAAACAAUAAGACGUAAAAAUGUACAAGUGGCACCAUCUGAUUGGUUGUCAUUUCGAUAGAUGCUAAAAAAGUAGUAAUUAAUUCCUGAUCAGAUGCUUAUUCUAACUUAUAAUACAAUGCUCAAAGCAAUUGAGAGGAGGCACAUGACAAAAAUAUUUAAUCAGGAACUGUAUCAUUCUCAUUUGAUCGAAUAAGAAAUUACCAUGAUCCAUGCAGAUCCUCAUUCAAAGACAAGGAGUAACAGCUUCUAUGUGCCAAGGGAUGAAAAAUUCUCUGACGUGAAGGAGAAAUCAUUUAGAAGAAAGACAAUAGUAUGUGGGUGGCUCACGACAAUUGCGCAUUUAAACAGUCCAACAAAUGGUGAAUUUCUACAUUCAUCAGAUAUAGUCAAAUUAUACUAUGAAGGAAUCAACAUGAGCAGUCCUGUGAAUCGAGGAUUUUGGCAACGGGUUUGGAACCUCCUGCUUAACGUUAAAGAUGAUUUCCUGAAAUUUAAACCCCCUGCACUGUUUCUCAGUAAGAAAAAACCUUCAAACCCCCGCCUCCUCUCUUGAUCUUUCUCACUUACAAACUGAAGUCAUUUUGCAUUUGCAGAGGACAAGUUUUCUUGGUUGUGGGAUGAAGAAUUCUCACGCCAAACUCUUGCCGGUGUUAACCCAUGUAGUAUAAAGUUGGUUUCGGUAUGAUAAGCAACUUCUUUUGAUCAUAUAUUAAUACGAGGCAUUGGUCUGCUUGUUAUACGUUUAUGAUUUAUUCUUAAUGAAUAACUUAAAUAUUUAGUGCAAACAGUACCUCAAUGGGAUAGCAAAGGUAUAUAUAUAUGGUUUUCAUUUAUUUCAUAAGUUAGUAUUUUUAUUUUUUUAUUUUUAUUUUUUUGCCAUUUUGCCAAAAGCCACACAGUUGUCUGCCGGAGGUUAACAAAUCUUGUUAGAUUAUGAAGCCAAAAUUAAUCUUAUUAUUCUAUGCAAGAGAUGUUUGGGGUCUAGUUCUCCACUAAGCUCAUAGGAUUUUAGCUGGCGGAUCAAAGCAUAGGUUUUUAACGAGGCAGUGACCUUAGGAAAAUUUUUUGAUGUAUCAAAUAAUGAGUUUACCCUUAUUGUGUUUUUAACCCUCUUAUGAUUUAGAAUUUCGUUUAACAGUGUGCUGCAUUUAAGAGGAAAGGAAGAAUUUUCAUCAUUGCAACCUUUCUCUUUCAUUUGAUUUGUGGAUUUUUAAGUGUUGAUAUACUUUAUGGAUGUGAAGUUCACAUUAAUUGUUGAACCAUGUUAAAAAUUUCUUAUGUUUUCUUUAUUUCUCCUUGUGUGUGUGAUUUGGGUAACAAACCCAUCACUUUGCAUCUAUGCAUAUAGAUAUAAACAUCAAUAAGAGGCAGUGAACAUUAAUAAGAUUGUACACAAAUGAUACUCCAUGAUAUUAUAAUCCAUAAAAUCGUGCAGGAGUGGCCAUUAAAGAGCACACUAGACCCUGAUGUCUAUGGUCCUCCUGAGUCGGCAAUCACCACAGAGUUGGUCGAGCGAGAGAUAAAAGCCUUCAUGACUAUUGACGUGGUACCUACUUUUCUCCUUCUCUUUCUCUCUCUCCUUUAUCAAUCUCCCAAGAAUUAAGUUGUCUAAAUUUGGGAACAUGAAAGCAGGCAUUAGAACAAAAGAAACUAUUCAUCAUAGAUUACCACGACUUGUUUUUACCAUAUGUGAGCAAAGUGAGGCAGAUGGAAGGGACAACACUGUAUGGUUCCCGGGCACUUUUUUUCCUAACCCCUGAUGGCACCUUGAAGCCUCUAGCCAUCGAGCUCACUCGCCCACCAAUAGAGGGGAAGCCACAGUGGAAGCAAGUUUUCACUCCCACAUCGGAAUCUACAGGUCGCUGGCUUUGGAGGUUCGCCAAAGUCCAUUUCCUUGCUCAUGACUCCGGUUAUCAUCAGCUUGUUAGUCACUGGUACAUGCCAUUGCCUUUGAUUUCGUUUUUUUGAGUAAUAGGUUUUUAUUUUGCCAGACCUGUCAAACUGAUUCCUCGGAUUUGCUGGACGAAGAGUUGGACAACUUUAUGAAUGCCAAUCAAAUAGCUUUGUUCAAUGUUGUAGGUUGAGAACUCAUUGUGUAACAGAACCUUACAUAAUUGCAACAAAUCGGCAACUCAGUGUAAUGCACCCCAUCUACAGACUAUUGCAUCCUCAUUUCCGGUACACAAUGCAUAUCAAUGCUCUUGCUCGAGAAAGUCUCAUCAAUGCCGAUGGGAUCAUUGAGACUUCAUUCUCACCCGGCAAGUAUUCUGUGGAGCUUAGCUCAGUAGCUUAUGACCAGCAGUGGCGGUUUGAUAAGGAAGCCCUGCCGGCAGACCUAAUAAACAGGUAUGAUUUGAAAAGCAUAAUAAUGGAUGAUGUAAAUCAAAGCCCCAUUUAUACUUAUUGAAAUUAUGUGUUACGCCCCAACUAGUAUACUAGUUCAUGGCUUAAAUUCGAAGUCCUUAUUUCUUGUUACUAAGUUCUCUCUUGCUCAUGGUUUCCCUCUCAAUUUUGCAUUACGCUCUCAGUUGGUAAUUGCCUCUUGAGUAAAUGUUGGUACCUUGACAUACAAUGCCGAUUGAUAUCCAAACCCCCUUAAAUUUUAUUUUUGAAUUUCUCUCAAAAGAGAUGCACUUCUACGCUUGCCAGCAAACCUAAUAAACAGGUAUGAUCUGAUAAGUAUGGUAAUGGAUGAUGUAAAUCAAAGUGCCCCAUAAAUACUUAUUGAAGUGUAGAGGGCUAGUUAAUAUAUAGUUGCUGGAAAGUGCCCUGGCUGACUCUUUGGUUUCGUAAUUGCCAGGGGCAUUGCUGUUGAGGAUCCAGAUGCUCCCCAUGGCCUAAAGCUACUGAUCGAAGACUAUCCUUUUGCCAAUGAUGGUCUAGUCCUUUGGGAUGCCUUAAAACAAUGGGUUGCAGACUAUGUCAACUACUACUACAAGGAUGCGAACAUGGUACAGUCUGAUCCAGAGCUCCAAGCAUGGUGGACGGAAAUCCAAACCAAAGGUCAUGAGGAUAAAAAAGAUGAACCAUGGUGGCCAAACCUCCAAACACCCAACGACCUCAUUGGAAUUAUCACAACAAUAACUUGGGUGGCCUCUGGUCACCAUUCCGCAGUCAACUUUGGACAAUAUGCUUUUGCUGGUUACUUCCCCAAUAGGCCUUCCAUUGCUAGAACCAAUAUGCCCUGUGAAGAACCAACAGAAGAAGGAUGGCAACGAUUUUUAGAC
Molecule: long non-coding RNA, 17410 nt
Filed under: Vitis vinifera (wine grape)
Lineage: Eukaryota; Viridiplantae; Streptophyta; Magnoliopsida; Vitales; Vitaceae
Description: long non-coding RNA (VVIN_LNC001677)
Source: RNAcentral